Molecule: non-coding RNA, 26 nt
Filed under: Cricetulus griseus (Chinese hamster)
Lineage: Eukaryota; Metazoa; Chordata; Mammalia; Rodentia; Cricetidae
Source: RNAcentral
GCUCGAAAGGAUCACAAAACUCUUCC